UUAGAAGCCCUUAUCCACUCCUACAAAGGUGCCAUACCUUAUCCCUUGUUUUUCUAGAAAUCAGCCACAAAACAACCUUUCUAGAAGACCUUAUCCCUUGUCCUACAAAAGUGACGCCCCAAACCUUUCUAGAACUUCUAGAAACCUGAUUAUUCCUUUCCCCCUUGGUCUCUAAAAGCCUUAGCCUUUUCCUUCAAGGAUUGUGUGUUAUUAUCCUAUACAAAUUAGGUUUUAAAUCCUUUUCCUUUGCUACAUAGGGGCUGCGAAUUUCAGCCUAUAAAUACCAUCUUUUGCUGCACCAUUUAGUCACCAUCCUCUACCAUAUUUUCACUACACCAUUCACCCAAACAUACCUUGUGUGCCGUGAGUUUGCAAGGAGAAGAAGGAAGACAACUUGGAGCCGUGCAUGCCAUUCAAGGAGCUUGGAUUGUGGAGCGUUUCUAGGUGUUUUCUAUCUUUGUUUUAAUGUUUAAAUUUAUUUAUCUUUGUUUAUUUGCGAGUAUGAGGAACUAAACCCCCCUUGGCUAGGGGGGGAUUCGAAACAAUGUUUAUGCUUGCUAUAUGAUUUGAUUACUUCUAAUUGCGUUUCAUAAGUUGUGAUUUCAAUUUGCUUAUCGAUGUGAAUUAAAACUUAUUCUUGUAUGUUGAUUGAGGGUCGACACUUAGUUUGCAUGCAUGAAUUUGAUGCUAGG
RNAcentral lists this long non-coding RNA (692 nucleotides) under Malus domestica (apple). Its description in RNAcentral is "long non-coding RNA (MDOM_LNC021079)". Lineage: Eukaryota; Viridiplantae; Streptophyta; Magnoliopsida; Rosales; Rosaceae. The record is from RNAcentral.